This 497-nucleotide ribosomal RNA is filed under the name uncultured bacterium. Its description in RNAcentral is "partial 16S ribosomal RNA". It matches the Rfam family "Bacterial small subunit ribosomal RNA", at positions 28 to 507 of the family's 1533-position model. The record is from RNAcentral.
GACGAACGCUGGCGGCGUGCCUAAUACAUGCAAGUAGAACGCUGAAGAGAGGAGCUUGCUCUUCUUGGAUGAGUUGCGAACGGGUGAGUAACGCGUAGGUAACCUGCCUUGUAGCGGGGGAUAACUAUUGGAAACGAUAGCUAAUACCGCAUAACAAUGGAUGACACAUGUCAUUUAUUUGAAAGGGGCAAUUGCUCCACUACAAGAUGGACCUGCGUUGUAUUAGCUAGUAGGUGAGGUAAUGGCUCACCUAGGCGACGAUACAUAGCCGACCUGAGAGGGUGGUCGACUACACUGGGACUGAGACGCGGCCCAGACACCUACGGGAGGCAGCAGUAGGGAAUCGUCGGCAAUGGGGGGAACGUUGACCGAUCAACGCCGCGUGAGUGAAGAAGGUUUGCGGAUCGUAAAGCUCUGUUGUAAGUGAAGAACGGGUGUGAGAGUGGAAAGUUCACCCUGUGACGGUAGCUUACCAGAAAGGGACGGCUAACUACGUG